AAACUUUCAACAACGGAUCUCUAGGCUCUUGCAUCGAUGAAGAACGCAGUGAAAUGCGAUAAGUAAUGUGAAUUGCAGAAUCUCGUGAAUCAUCGAAUCUUUGAACGCACAUUGCGCCCUAUGGCAUUCCGUAGGGCAUGCCUGUCUGAGCGUCA
RNAcentral lists this ribosomal RNA (155 nucleotides) under Ulurua nonparaphysata. RNAcentral's name for it is "5.8S ribosomal RNA". It matches the Rfam family "5.8S ribosomal RNA". From Rfam's summary of the family: 5.8S ribosomal RNA (5.8S rRNA) is a component of the large subunit of the eukaryotic ribosome. It is transcribed by RNA polymerase I as part of the 45S precursor that also contains 18S and 28S rRNA. The record is from RNAcentral. Lineage: Eukaryota; Fungi; Ascomycota; Pezizomycetes; Pezizales; Pezizaceae.